RNAcentral lists this ribosomal RNA (429 nucleotides) under Pseudomonadota bacterium. RNAcentral describes it as "Proteobacteria bacterium partial 16S ribosomal RNA". It matches the Rfam family "Bacterial small subunit ribosomal RNA", at positions 355 to 776 of the family's 1533-position model. The record is from RNAcentral. Lineage: Bacteria; Pseudomonadati; Pseudomonadota.
UGGGGAAUAUUGGACAAUGGGCGAAAGCCUGAUCCAGCCAUGCCGCGUGUGUGAAGAAGGUCUUCGGAUUGUAAAGCACUUUAAGUUGGGAGGAAGGGCAGUGAGCGAAUACCUUGCUGUUUUGACGUUACCGACAGAAUAAGCACCGGCUAACUCUGUGCCAGCAGCCGCGGUAAUACAGAGGGUGCAAGCGUUAAUCGGAAUUACUGGGCGUAAAGCGCGCGUAGGUGGUUCGUUAAGUUGAAUGUGAAAGCCCCGGGCUCAACCUGGGAACUGCAUCCAAAACUGGCGAGCUAGAGUAGGGCAGAGGGUGGUGGAAUUUCCUGUGUAGCGGUGAAAUGCGUAGAUAUAGGAAGGAACACCAGUGGCGAAGGCGACCACCUGGGCUCAUACUGACACUGAGGUGCGAAAGCGUGGGGAGCAAACAGG